UGGGGAAUAUUGCACAAUGGGCGCAAGCCUGAUGCAGCCAUGCCGCGUGUAUGAAGAAGGACUUCGGGUUGUAAAGUACUUUCAGUCGGGAGGAAGGUGUCAAGGUUAAUAACCUUGGCAAUUGACGUUACCGACAGAAGAAGCACCGGCUAACUCCGUGCCAGCAGCCGCGGUAAUACGGAGGGUGCAAGCGUUAAUCGGAAUUACUGGGCGUAAAGCGCACGCAGGCGGUUGAUUGAGUCAGAUGUGAAAUCCCCGGGCUUAACCCGGGAAUUGCAUCUGAUACUGGUCAGCUAGAGUCUUGUAGAGGGGGGUAGAAUUCCAUGUGUAGCGGUGAAAUGCGUAGAGAUGUGGAGGAAUACCGGUGGCGAAGGCGGCCCCCUGGACAAAGACUGACGCUCAGGUGCGAAAGCGUGGGGAGCAAACAGG
Molecule: ribosomal RNA, 429 nt
Filed under: Chloroflexota bacterium
Lineage: Bacteria; Bacillati; Chloroflexota
Description: Chloroflexi bacterium partial 16S ribosomal RNA
Rfam family: Bacterial small subunit ribosomal RNA
Source: RNAcentral